RNAcentral lists this ribosomal RNA (468 nucleotides) under uncultured bacterium. Its description in RNAcentral is "partial 16S ribosomal RNA". It matches the Rfam family "Bacterial small subunit ribosomal RNA", at positions 28 to 507 of the family's 1533-position model. The record is from RNAcentral.
GACGAACGCUGGCGGCGUGCUUAACACAUGCAAGUCGAGCGGAAAGACCCUGCUUUUGCUCGUUUCUCGUGUGGCGAGCGGGGGAGUAAAACACGUGUAUCCCGUCCUUAUCUUUCUGAUAUCUUUUCGGAACUCCGGCUAUUACCGCAUAUAAUCUCCUGCUCCGUGUUGUUCGAUAGUGAGUUUCGGCGGUUGGGUAUGGACUCGCGGGUUAUCAGCUUGUUUGUGGGGUAGGGGAUUACCAGGCCUGUGACGGGUAGCCGGCCUGAGAGGGUGACCGGCCACAUUGGGACUGAGAGACGGCCCAGACUCCUACGGGAGGCAGCAGUGGGGAAUAUUGCACAAUGGGCGGAAGCCUGAUGCAGAAACGCCGCGUGCGGGAUGACGGCCUUCGGGUUGUAAACCGCUUUCGCCUGUGACGAAGCGUGAGUGACGGUAAUGGGUAAAGAAGCACCGGCUAACUACGUG